GAACGAGAAAUACAAUAUAUGAGUAAUAUUUUGUGCGGGGUUUAUUAUACUAAUGAGUAAUUGAUUUUGUGCGGGGUUUCAUUGAGAACGAGAAAUGCAAUAUAUGAGUAAUAUUUGGAGCGAUUAUAGAAUACCCGGCCACUUUUGAAUUUUGAUAGUGUUUGCUUUUGGGGGAUACGGGGAUACGCAGUCAUUAAAAUGACGUAAUUAUUCGAGUAGUUUAAGAGGAGAAUGGGUAACUAUUAUAUUUCAAUGAUACGGGCAUACGGGGAUACGCAGUCAUUAAAAUGACGUAAUUAUUCGAGUAGUUUAAAAGGAGAAUGGGUAACUAUUAUUUUUCAAUGAUACGGGGAUACGGGGAUACGCAGUCAUUAAAAUGACGUAAUUAUUGGAGUAGUUAAUUUUAACAGGAGAAUGGGUAACUAUUAUUUUUCAAUGAUACGGGGAUACGCAGUCAUUAAAAUGACGUAAUUAUUGGAGUAGUUUAAGAGGAGAAUGGGUAACUAUUAUUUUUCAAUGAUACGGGGAUACGCAGUCAUAUGCAUUAAAAUGACGUAAUUAUUCGAGUAGUUUAAAAGGAAAAUGGGUAACUAUUAUUUUUCAAUGAUACGGGGAUACGCAGUCAUUAAAAUGACGUAAUUAUUCGAGUAGUUUAAAAGGAGAAUGGGUAACUAUUAUUUUUCAAUGAUACGGGAAUACGGGGAUACGCAGUCAUUAAAAUGACGUAAUUAUUCGUGUAGUUUAAAAGGAGAAUUGGUAACUAUUAUAUUUCAAUGAUAUGGGGAUACGGGAAUACGCUGUCAUUAAAAUGACGUAAUUAUUCGUGUAGUUGAAGAGGAGAAUUGGUAACUAUUAUAUUUCAAUGAUACGGGGAUACGCAGUCAUUAAAAUGACGUAAUUAUUCGAGUAGUUUAAGAGGAGAAUGGAUAACUACUAUUUUUCAAUGAUACGAGGAUACGCAGUCAAAUCGUGCUCAUUUGAUAUGCAAAAUUUAUACUAAUGAGUAAUAUUUUGUGCGGUGUUUAUUGAGAACGAGAAAUACAGUAUAUGAGUAAUAUUUUGUGCGGGGUUUAUUAUACUAACUAGGUUACCCACAGGGCAAUAAUGCUGCCUUUGACAUCAAAAGACAAACUACAGGGUGUU
Non-coding RNA from Paramuricea clavata, 1143 nucleotides. The record is from the annotation of a GenBank genome assembly. Lineage: Eukaryota; Metazoa; Cnidaria; Anthozoa; Malacalcyonacea; Plexauridae.